GAUGAACGCUGGCGGUAUGCUUAACACAUGCAAGUCGAACGGAUGUUUUCGGACAUUAGUGGCGGACGGGUGAGUAACGCGUGAGAAUCUGCCUAUAGGUUGGGGACAACAGAUGGAAACGUCUGCUAAUACCCGAUGUGCCGAGAGGUAAAAGCUUUAGUGCCUGUAGAUGAGCUCGCGUCCGAUUAGCUAGUUGGUUGGGUAAAGGCUGACCAAGGCGACGAUCGGUAGCUGGUCUGAGAGGAUGAUCAGCCACACUGGGACUGAGACACGGCCCAGACUCCUACGGGAGGCAGCAGUGGGGAAUUUUCCGCAAUGGGCGAAAGCCUGACGGAGCAAUACCGCGUGCGGGACGAAGGCUUUUGGGUCGUAAACCGCUUUUGUUAGGGAAGAAGAACUGACGGUACCUAACGAAUCAGCAUCGGCUAACUCCGUGCCAGCAGCCGCGGUAAUACGGGGGAUGCAAGCGUUAUCCGGAAUUAUUGGGCGUAAAGCGUCCGCAGGUGGUUUAUCAAGUCUGCUGUCAAAGCGUGGGGCUUAACCCCAUAAAGGCAGUGGAAACUGAGAGACUAGAGUACGGUAGGGGUAGCGGGAAUUCCCAGUGUAGCGGUGAAAUGCGUAGAUAUUGGGAAGAACACCAGCGGCGAAGGCGCGCUACUGGGCCGAAACUGACACUCAUGGACGAAAGCUAGGGGAGCGAAAGGGAUUAGAUACCCCUGUAGUCCUAGCUGUAAACGAUGACAACUAGGUGUUGCGCG
RNAcentral lists this ribosomal RNA (758 nucleotides) under uncultured cyanobacterium. RNAcentral describes it as "bacterial SSU rRNA". It matches the Rfam family "Bacterial small subunit ribosomal RNA", at positions 28 to 829 of the family's 1533-position model. Lineage: Bacteria; Bacillati; Cyanobacteriota. The record is from RNAcentral.